GCCUGACUUCCGGGAGCAGAGCGCUGGACGGACAAGCCAAUGCGCAUGCGCGAGGCGCCGGCUGUUUCCCCGUUCACAAUGACCCCCACGGUUGCCUAAGAAACCAGUCCCUGAGGCUUGGGAAAGCAGGAGCCCUCCGCGGCAGUGCGUCGGUGUCGAGGCUCCGAGGCUCCGGCCUCACCUCUCCAGGAGGUCGACAGAACGACAGGACGUUCUCCGAAUGCCAGGAGUCGCAGAGGGCAGAGCAGGAUGAAGAAACCACAGGCGGAGUCUAGGGGAAGCAGUACGGCGUCCCUGCCUCAGGCCUGCCCGGACGGUGUGCGGCCUGAGUGGCAGCUUUUCUAGGAUCAAGACCACACCUCAGCCAAGGACAAAAGCAUCAGAAGAGCUCAUUGUCCUGAGGGAGGGGAGCAGACCGACGUCAAAGAUGGUUUUAAGUCCGCGAGACUCUUCUCUGACAAAUGAAGCCACACCACGACACAGGCUUAAAGAAGAAGCCGGGAACAGGACAUGGCAAGGAUCCCUGUCACUGGAACACUGGCCUUUCUGGACAAGUCACCCGUUUGGCACUCCUCCCCGGGUGCCCGUUGCGGUGGCACUGUGCUGUAUCCUGCCUGGGCUCUGGCCUCUGCUCUGUCCUCCCUCUUGCUGUGUCUCCCGUUUCUGAGGGGUGCAGAUGCUUCUUGGUCUGCCUCAAUGUCUUCAACAAAGAACACUUUCCAGUCCAUCAGGGAGAAACUUCAAGGAGAUCCAUGUCAUGAUUGUUUCCCUCUGCAAACUUGUUUCUGGUGGAUUGGGCACGUGUGAAGAUCCUGGAGCUCUGGGCAUCCAUACCUGUCUCAGACAGGGAAGCUCCCUUGGUCUCCAUGUUUCACCUGAUGGCUGCGUAGUUUCCCUACAAUGAAUGGUAGGCGACCGUGGCUGGCCUUGGCUUCAAGAGAGGCGGUGUCACAUUUCCUCUGCAUUUCCUGUCUCAUUCUUAAGGGACAUCUGCUUCCUCUGCUCCUGGGUGGACUGCCUCCCAGAACUGAAUCUUUUGGCAGCCAAUAAUGUCAGGGAGCCAAAGGGACUGGGCUGGGGCUGGGUGCAUGGGAGGUUGCGUUAGGGCUACCUAGGCGGUGGAGGGAUGGAGGUGGAGUGAUCUUUACAGAAACCUCUCCGCUCCUCCAGCAGGCUCCCCAAAAUGUGGCUUGGACUUACGCACAGGGCCUCUUCUGGUUCCCAGCUGUGCUUUGCUUUUCCUUGGCAUUGUUGGGGAGGUCACCUGUGCCCCCCUUCCACCGGGCACAUGCCUGGACACCAGUGUUCGUCUCGCCAUCGCCCCAUAUGGCCUCGGUGACACACACUCACCCCAUCUGCUCUGGGGGACGCCAGUGCCACGUUUGGUCACAUUGGCUCCACCUCGGACUCACCCCUGUUCUUGUUUGCAUGUCUCCUGGAAAGCGGUGGCGGCACACAGCAGCCCCAGGACUUUGGCAAGCGGGGCAGGCCACUGCACCUCCCAGGGAGGAGGGAGGCAGAGGGCUCAUGUUUCAGUGAAUUUUCAGCUGACACCAUGCCUUCAGGCCCAUGGGAUCUUUCUGUGCCCCAGCGAGGCCCUGCCUGCCUCACCAGAUGAGGUGAGCCCAUCCCUGGUCACCUGGUGGGAUCCAAAAUCGGAUCUGAAGAGGAGUACUGAGACCCCAGCAGGCGCCCUGAACCUCCUCUUCCACUGGUAGAAGUUGGCUCAAGGAGGCCCUGAGGACAGGACUCCUGCGAGUCCGGCCCUAGGGCGCCCGCAGCCCCCACUCCCUCGCCGCCCCCUACUUGAUCCCGGAUUCAGCCACCACCGCGCUGCAGCAGGAGCCCCUACUGCCGCCGCCAUUGUUCGAGGGGGCCUCAGCCUGAGUUCCAGGAGCAGAGCACGAGUCGGCCUAGGCAAUGCGCAUGCCCGAGGCGCGAGAGGAUUAUCCCGUCACAGUGAUUCCCACAGUUGCCUGAGAAACCAGUCCCUGAGGCUUGGCAAAGCAGGAGCCCUCCGUGGCAGUGCUUGGGUGUCCGGGCUCCGAGACUCCGGCCUGACCUCUCCAUGGGGUCGAAAGGACGGUCUCUGGAUGCCAGGAGUCGCGGAGGGCGGACCAGCAUGAGGAAACCAUUGGCGGAAAAUGGCAGAAGCAGUGCGGCAUCCCAGCCUCAACUGCCGGGACGGUGUUCAAGUGUUCUAUGAUUUUCGUUGGCAUCGAUGGAAAGGUCACCUGUGCCCCCCUUCCUCCGGAACAUGCCUGGACACCAUUGUUUGUUUCGCCAUCGCCCCGUAUGCCCUCUGUGACACACAUUCACAGCAUCUGCUCUUGAAUACACCAGUGCCACGUGUGGUCACACUGGCUCUACUUUGGAUUUGCCCCUUUCCCUGUUUGCACGUGUCCUGCACUUUUACCAGAAGGUGGUAAAAGUAAGAGAAGAAUAAAAUUUUGGACAUGUAAAAUUCAUGUCUUCUAUAGAGUAACUGGGUAAAGAUAUCCAUCAGACUGUUAUAUAUGCUCUUCAGGAGCUCAAGUAGGGAUUGUAUUGCAAAUGAGUAAUUUGAUAUUUAUCAGUGUACAAUGAUGACUGAAACCAUUAUAGCCAUUGCAGUGUGGUGUGAUAAUUCACUGAUGCUAUGCGGAACAGGAUAUCAAGCAGGUUUUGGGGACAAGUACCAGUUAAGAAACAAGCAAAGAAAAGAAUUCAUAAGUGGAAAAUUGUUUUUAAGUGAUAAUUAUAAUUAGCAUCAUGAGAAAACAAUAUGAUGAAGCCAAGGAAAAUAUUUAAGAUGUCUUUUUAUAAAAGAGCCAUGAUGAGCAGAUUUUAACUUUGCCUCUCAUAAAACCAAUUAAAAAAACUUAAUUUUCAAAGGAAUGUAAAAAUAAGGGAAAAUAUCUUAAUUUGGGAUAGAAAUAAGAAAUUGAGGCAUCCACAUAUCCCAUAUUUUGAGGACUUUCUUACAGAAACAAUACACGUAAGAUGAGACGGAAAUCACCAAGACUUGGGUCAUGAGUUUCUGAGGAAGAAAUGAGGCAAACGUUAAUUCAACGUUUAAUGGUGACAAUCAUUGCUCUGAGCAACUUAACAACUCUUUAAUUCUCAAAAAACUUUCAUCUAUGUGUUUAGCCUCACUUUUAGGUCAUAAAACUGAGGAACUGACAAUUUCAGUAACUAUAAUUUGCGCAUGUCACACAGAAAGUAGUGGAAUGAGAAUUGAAAUCUACAUCUUAUAACCUCUAAAAUAUUUGCUUUUAACCUCUACACUGUUAGAAGUAACUAACUGGACACAUGGACAGAAUAGUUGUGUGUUUGUUUUCUCCUCAGAUGUGGAGAAUCAUGUAAGUAAAGGAAUGAGGCAGUAAAGAAAGAACUGUGUAAUAUAUUUAAGUGUAAGUAUUAACUAGUGGGGAAGGGUUCUAGAAGUCAUAGGAAAGAUGGGAUGAAAAACAGAAAAGACAUUAUAUUUAAGAGGAGGAACAUCUCAUUUUUUGAGACCAGAGUAAAGAAGAUAUGGAGAGGGCUGUGGACCACAAGUUUAAAACUUUGCCAAAGUAUUUUACUUCGUGUCCAUGAAAAUCUUUUAUUUUCCUCUGAGAAAUUAAUAGGCUUUUUUAUGAAAGACAGUGCAAACUAUAUAAUGAAUUUUGUUAAUUUUAGUUUUAUGUCCUAAUUUGUUUUUCCUAUGAAGGCCAGAUUCAAAUUUGAAGCUUAAUUCUUAAUGAACUUAUUUCUGUAUAUUUCUAAUUGAAAGUUUCUCCUUAAUCACUUAUGUUUUCCUAAUUUUGAUCCACUUAGGGUUUUCCAUCUUUUGUUGAGAUUAUUGUUAUCUACUUUUCCUGCCUUAUAGAAUAAGAUAAUAAAAUAAAUACAUCAUUUAAAACUCACGUAGGACUUCAUCAUUUCUUCUUCCUGGGAGACAGCAGAAUCCUGAGAUGGCCAAGGUAGGGGAUGGGUGAAAAAAUAAGCCAUCAAAAACCCCACUUGCUUAGCAGCUCUAGGAAAGGCAGACUAGGAAUCUCCAGUUAGUUAAGAUCAUCUGGAGGAACUUUGUGGGGAAAUAAUCUUAAAGUCUAUCAAAAAGCCAAGAAUAACUACACUGUUUGCAGGCACCAAUAUGUACAAGCAUGACUGACGAAAUCCUAUGGAGCUUCAAUAUGGAUUUUUAAACAUUAUUUCUAAAUUAAAAGUAUAAUUCAGAAGAUAUUUUUAAGCUAGCUGCAUACUUCACUCUUCGAUCUAUCCAUCCAUCCAUCCAUCCAAUCACAAACUUACAGAAAGUUGCAAGUAUAGCACCAGGAACUUUCUUGUUACUGAACCAUUUGAAAGUAAAUUGUUGACCUAAUGCUACAUCACCCCUGAAACAGGAAUUAAAAGAAAUUAAAGAGUGUGUAAGCAAAAACUCAAUUGUAUGUGAGAAAACCCAAUUCCCCCUGAGAAACAGAAAGAGCUGGAGUCCUUUAAAAAAUUAACUGCCUGUUUUUCUGUGGCUAGUGAGCUUUAUCUCUCCCUUUCCCAGGCAUUGUGAAGACCCGGUUUCCCUAGCUGUGCAGCUGCAAGGUCACUAGACAGAUAAACUCAAGUCGCAAAACAUGUUUUUCCUUGAAAAGUAAGAAAUGAUGUAAUGCAUGUCUCACUUGCAUAAGUGCCUUUGUUUCUCG
This 4661-nucleotide long non-coding RNA is filed under the name Homo sapiens (human). RNAcentral describes it as "HSALNT0397789". Lineage: Eukaryota; Metazoa; Chordata; Mammalia; Primates; Hominidae. The record is from RNAcentral.